Molecule: long non-coding RNA, 1997 nt
Filed under: Pandoravirus celtis
Description: hypothetical ncRNA
Source: RNAcentral
ACCGAGCCAUGGAGAGAGGCAGACGUGUGGUCAACCCCAGCCAUGGCGCUCGCGCCGUUGACGAGUGGGACCCCAUCUGCUGUCUCGGCGAGGCUCUCGUGUAGAGCCGAUGUAGGGCCGUGUUGUGUAUGGAGGCCGGCCCAGAAAGGGUUGGUGCCUGCCACGGCCAACGCAGGCGCAACGGCAGUCCACGUACGCAUUGUCCACGACCGGUGAUGCCAUCCGUCGGCAUGGUCAAUGGGCGAUGUGAUGACAAACACAUGCGCCAGGAGCGCGCCGGCCGCGCAGCCCUUGAGCGAUGAGCCGUGCACGGCAAUGUCCCGCAGUCGACGGCACAUCUCACCGAGUGCACUGCCAACCAAGGGUUGGCUGCGCAGCGCAUGACUGCGCAGGACAUUGUCCACCAGACCGUCGACGCGCACACGAUCCAAAAGACGUGCCGCUCGCGCAUCGUCGUCGCCAUCUUGGCUGUCGGCCGAUCGGGGUGGGUCGGUCGGAUGGCGCGCUUGAUCGAGACUGCACACCAGCGUCAGAAUCAGGCGGACACGCGCGAGAGACGCGCGCUUGCCGGGGUCUGUCGGCUCGGGAAUCCGUUGUCCCCGUUCGGCAAAGCGGCGGCCCGUGGCAACGUUGGUCGCAGCGAUUUGGAACGCCAGCGUCAGGAGCAGGUCCGACCCGAGCCUGCCGGCCGCCGCGGCCAGUCCCAUAGCCGAUAGCCACGUGUCGGUGGUGGCGAGGUCGGCCGCCUUGCCAUCCUCGGCGCCCAUGGCACCGGCCAGCCACGCGCUCACGCGACUCGCGCUAGCCGCGCGCUUGACAAACCCGCCCGAGCGACUAUAGGCCGUGGACGCGUCGCUCAACCGGUCGCCCAGCGUGAGGCAUACAAUGACGACCGCACCGCACCGUGUGGCCGCUGCCCAUAGGAUGGUCCGUUCCAGCGCGCCCGGCACAUAAUCUUUGAGGGUGCCCGACGCGAAUGCACUGGGGCGAGCGAGCAUCUGCUCGACCAGGCCACACUUGCUCUGCAGGCGCGGCAGCACGUCUAGCCACAGCCACGCUGCGCCUGUGCGCUUCCAGGCGGGUUCGUCCUGCGGGCAGAUGUGCAUCACGGUGGCGGCAGUUGCACGCUCGGCGGGGCAACUGGUCUCGUCGACGUGCACCAGGGCGUGACAGGGCGACGUUGGUCCGGUUGUGAGAACGUCGACCAACACAGUGCGCGUGCGCGGCGACGCGUGCCACAGGGACAAGAGGUCGUCCCGAUCAAGCCAUGCGAUGGCCGACGCAGCCAGCGCGACAUUGCAGCGCCCCAAGAGGGCGACCAUGCACCCGCGCGGCGGCCUUCUGGGACCGGACCACGGUGUCGGCCAACGCGCUGACAGGCUGUCGUCGCAUUCUCCCUUAGAGACAGACGCCGAGCGCGCGCCACUCACAAUGGGCGCGUCCUUGACGAGGGCCUCGAUGGCGUCGCGCUGGCCGGCAGCGCAAAAGGCCCCCGGCAGCGCGUCGUCGACCGCGAUGGUAUCGUUGCUGUCGGCACACGCAACAAUGUGCACAGCGGGUUGGCCCUUGUGCGUGCCACUGUCGCCCUCGUCGCUGGCGACCGUUUGUGCGGUCUCCAUCGAGACGCUUUUUGGCUCGUCAGUCCUUUUUUUCCAACUCUGUGCGGCACGCGCGACGCACAGACUCUUUUUCAGUCUUGGGGUUGCCAACAAACUCGACGAGGACAAAAUGUGCAGUGUCAAAGAAAAAAACUGUGCAGACGCCGGCCCAGCAACUUUCUGGGCACACUUGGGCGCUUGCGACUUUGUAUUUUCUGUUUCCGUGCUUUGGGGGGGGGCUGCGAUGCGGCGCCAUUGGCCAACCCCAACAAAAGGCCAGGCCCGGACGCCAAGACCAGACCCUCAAUGCAUCGACCAGCCACCGACGGCUGCGACCAUAGUCUGCCCAAAAACUAGAGAAAGGCGUCAAAUAUAAAAGAAACCAAUCGCGAAAAAGGG